Molecule: ribosomal RNA, 465 nt
Filed under: uncultured bacterium
Lineage: Bacteria
Description: partial 16S ribosomal RNA
Rfam family: Bacterial small subunit ribosomal RNA
Source: RNAcentral
GACGAACGCUGGCGGCGUGCUUAACACAUGCAAGUCGAACGGAAAGGCCCCUUCGGGGGUCCUCGAGUGGCGAACGGGUGAGUAACACGUGAGUAACCUGCCCUUGACUUCGGGAUAACUUCAGGAAACUGGGGCUAAUACCGGAUAGGAAUCCUUGCUGCAUGGUGGGGGUUGGAAAGCUUCGGCGGUUUUGGAUGGACUCGCGGCUUAUCAGCUUGUUGGUGGGGUAGUGGCUUACCAAGGCUUUGACGGGUAGCCGGCCUGAGAGGGCGACCGGCCACAUUGGGACUGAGAUACGGCCCAGACUCCUACGGGAGGCAGCAGUGGGGAAUAUUGCACAAGGGGCGGAAGCCUGAUGCAGCAACGCCGCGUGCGGGAUGACGGCCUUCGGGUUGUAAACCGCUUUCAGCAGGGGCGAAGCUUGUGGUGACGGUACCUGCAGAAGAAGCACCGGCUAACUACGUG